AAAAUACAACCCCGGCUGAUUCUUCUUCUUAUAAAAGGGAAAGCUUGAUCAAGUUGAAAGCAGUCUUGUGAUCAGAAUUCUGUCAGUUCUAGGGAGCUAUUCAUGGGAACAUGGCAUGAGAAAGAGAAACUUCAGACUUACGCACCAGAUUGAAAAGGAGAACAGGUCGUCCUCACGGGCUGCUUCUUCCACGAAUAAAAGGGCAGAGGUUGAUCAUGUUGAAAGCAAUCGGAUGUUCCUAAUUCCAUUAAUUCCAGUUAGCGAUUCAUGGGGAAGAUAGCAGGAGAAAAGCAAACUUCAGAAUUCGUACAAGAUUAAGCAUGUCGUUCACCAGCGAUUGACUCCUUCACCAGAACGCGAUUGAAGAACAGCGC
Molecule: long non-coding RNA, 374 nt
Filed under: Triticum aestivum (bread wheat)
Lineage: Eukaryota; Viridiplantae; Streptophyta; Magnoliopsida; Poales; Poaceae
Description: long non-coding RNA (TAES_LNC019401)
Source: RNAcentral